UGCCGCAGAGAAGUUGUUAAGCUCGCCGCCUGGGAAGUACGGCCGCAAGGCUGAAACUUAAAGGAAUUGGCGGGGAGCACCACAAGGGGUGAAGCCUGCGGUUCAAUUGGAGUCAACGCCGAGAAACUUACCGGGGCUGACAGCAGUGUGAAAGCCAGAUUAAGGGUCUUGCCAGACAAGCU
RNAcentral lists this ribosomal RNA (182 nucleotides) under uncultured archaeon. RNAcentral describes it as "partial 16S ribosomal RNA". It matches the Rfam family "Archaeal small subunit ribosomal RNA", at positions 799 to 981 of the family's 1478-position model. The record is from RNAcentral.